Molecule: ribosomal RNA, 467 nt
Filed under: uncultured bacterium
Lineage: Bacteria
Description: partial 16S ribosomal RNA
Rfam family: Bacterial small subunit ribosomal RNA
Source: RNAcentral
ACGAACGCUGGUGGCGUGCUUCACCCCUGCAAGUCGAACGGAAAGGCCCUGCUUUUGUGGGGUGCUCGAGUGGCGAACGGGUGAGUAACACGUGAGUAACCUGCCCUUGACUUUGGGAUAACUUCAGGAAACUGGGGCUAAUACCGGAUAGGAGCUCCUGCUGCAUGGUGGGGGUUGGAAAGUUUCGGCGGUUGGGGAUGGACUCGCGGCUUAUCAGCUUGUUGGUGGGGUAGUGGCUUACCAAGGCUUUGACGGGUAGCCGGCCUGAGAGGGUGACCGGCCACAUUGGGACUGAGAUACGGCCCAGACUCCUACGGGAGGCAGCAGUGGGGAAUAUUGCACAAUGGGCGGAAGCCUGAUGCAGCAACGCCGCGUGCGGGAUGACGGCCUUCGGGUUGUAAACCGCUUUCGCCUGUGACGAAGCGUGAGUGACGGUAAUGGGUAAAGAAGCACCGGCUAACUACGUG